UAAGCUAGUAAAGGAAAAUAGAAAAUUGUAGGAGAAGAAAGAGGAGAAGAGAGGGAGAGUAGAAGGGAGCAAAAUCGAGAAGAGAUAGAGAAAAAAGAAGGUUCGAAUGAGCAAAACCGCAAGACAAGGGUUUCAAUCUCUCUCGAUAUUGCAUUCUCUACCCAAUUUUUUCUUUGAAUUUGAAGAUUUGUAUUCCGACUUCGAUUAAUUAGAUGUUUUGUUGUUUUUGUGAAGUGAAGGUGCACUCUCUGCUUAAUGUUUUAAUGUUGAUUUUUGGGAUUUUUUUUGAAAUGAACGAGAUGAGUUUUCUGAGGUUUCACAUUAGGGCUAGGGUUUUGAGAUCUUUCAGAGCAUUUUUAUUCUCUGAUACUUUUUUGAGUUUGAGAUUUCUUGAUGCUUUCGGAUGAUUAGUUGUUUUUGAAUGGGACACUUGUGCACAUCAUUUUUUCUAUUGGGUUUAUCAGUAUGUUGGCAUUUUGUGAAUGAUUUGUUAGGUAUAUGGGGUGAAGAUUUAAUCUGGAGAGUUUCUGGGUUGAGGAAUUGUGAUUUUUAAAUUUAGAUUUUAAUGAUUUUAGGACUUGCAAUUUGGGUAUACCAACACAACAAAAAUAAGUGUGAAUUAUCAAAUUACUCCUCAAAAAGAUGAUUGACUAUUGAAAUCAAUGAAGACCUAUCACUUGAUUUGAUAAUUCACAAAUUUUUUUUGGUUUUUGUUGAAAAAAAUAUAAAUUAUGGUUGUGCUACUAAAAUUUUUGUUCGUUUAGAACAUGUAUGAUAUGGGAAAGGUAUAUUGAAAUUGAAACAAAAAUGUGUAUUUACAUCUGUGUAUUUAGAACAUGUGUACUUGUUCGUUUUGUGUGAUUUUGAACUCAGAUUUCUAUAAAUUGAGGUUUUUUUUUUUUUUUUUGAUGAUUGAACACAAAACAACUCGCUCUCUGGAGUUUCGAGAAGUUUAUCUCUGUAAAUUGGGUCUUUAGUCACUUUAUUACAGUUAAAUUAUUAAAUAAGUUCAAUAAUAUAAAUAUUGACAUGUAGUUUUAAAUGUUAACUUCAGAGUAUUUUAGAAUGAAAUUUUAUUUUGACCACGCGCUUUCUUAAUAUUAAGUAUGAGGUUGUUUCUUUUAUAUUCUAAGAAAUUGCUAUUACAAUUCUCUGAUAUGUUACAUUCUGUUGUUGUGUGUAUUGUGUUUGCCUUUGGGUGCUGCUGCUGGAAGAUGAUAAGAGGAGGCUUUCAAAACAGAGUUUGCAGUGCAUCUGCUAGUGCUGUUGGAGAGCUAUCCCUGCUAAUUGCUGCUGCUGCCAGUUGUUGUUGCUGAUUUUUGCUGCUACAGAGCUAUUUUAGGUGCUGAUUUUGGUGCUGUUAAUUGCUGUUUUGGGUGCUCAUUUUGGUGCUGGUUUUUUUCUUGGCUUUGGUUAGUUGCUCACCAACUCUUGAUGGCGUGCUAGCAAGGGAUUGGACGGGCAUAUUGGUGCCAACUUAAUUGGGAUUGGUGUGUUGGUAUUAUGCCCUCUUGAUCCUCAGCUUCUUUUUAAGUUCCAUAUUUGAGAGAUUCGUGAAUGUGAUCACCUAACUAUGAAGGGACCCAAGUAGAGGCAAUGUGUCUUAUUAUUGGAAUUCAUAUGGGAUCAAGAUCAAGAAACAGUAUGCAGUGUUUGAUUCCAAGGUUCUUAGUAAAAUUCCAAGAGGACCAUUGAAAGGCAAGAAAAGGGCUGUUGUCGGUCUGAUGGUCUCAGGAAAAGGGCCCUGCUGGUCUGAUGCUACUGGUGGCUGAUGGCUAUUGCUUGCUGGUCUACUGGUGUUGCUGCUACCCUGGUGGCUGAUGGAUUGCUUCUGCUGCUGCAAUGUUGCUAUGAGGUGGUUGCUACUAGAUACUGGUCUGCUGCAAAUUUCUAAUAGUGGUCUUUAUUUAGAGUCUUGUAAAUGGUUAUUGCUUCUCCAGAUGUGUGCCUCAUGGGAGAGGGAUUCUUGUUUACCCAAACAGCCCACCAUAAGGUACAUGUGAGAUGCUUCCUCCAAGGCAAUAGCGUUGAUGGAGUUUUGGGAAGCAAGAGCUUC
Molecule: non-coding RNA, 2056 nt
Organism: Camellia sinensis
Lineage: Eukaryota; Viridiplantae; Streptophyta; Magnoliopsida; Ericales; Theaceae
Source: RefSeq, a predicted model, not a curated record